AUGUUGCAGGAGGAUGGGGGUAUUGAUGAAGAUGUGAACCAUCGAAUCAAAGCCGGAUGGAUGAAGUGGCGCCAAGCUUCUGGCAUUCUCUGUGACAAGAGAGUGCCCCAAAAGCUAAAAGGCAAGUUCUACUGGACGGCGGUUCGACCCGCAAUGUUGUAUGGCGCGGAGUGUUGGCCGACUAAAAGGCGACAUGUUCAACAGUUAGGUUUGGCGGAGAUGCGUAUGUUGAGAUGGAUGUGUGGCCACACGAGGAAGGAUCGAGUCCGGAAUGAUGAUAUACGAGAUAGAGUUGGGGUAGCACCAAUUGAGGAGAAGCUUGUCCAACAUCGUCUGAGAUGGUUUGGGCAUAUUCAGCGCAGGCCUCCAGAAGCUCCAGUGCAUAGCGGAUGGCUAAAGCGUGCGAAGAAUGUCAAGAGAGGGCGGGGUCGACCGAAUUUGACAUGGGAGGAGUCCGUUAAGAGAGACCUGAAGGAUUGGAGUAUCGACAAAGAGCUAGCUAUGGACAGGGGUGAGUGGAAGCUUGCUAUCCAUGUGCCAGAGCCAUGA
RNAcentral lists this ribosomal RNA (549 nucleotides) under Triticum aestivum (bread wheat). RNAcentral's name for it is "partial small subunit ribosomal RNA". Lineage: Eukaryota; Viridiplantae; Streptophyta; Magnoliopsida; Poales; Poaceae. The record is from RNAcentral.